AGAGUUUGAUCCUGGCUCAGGAUGAACGCUGGCGGCGUGCUUAACACAUGCAAGUCGAACGGUGAAGCAGAGCUUGCUCUGUGGAUCAGUGGCGAACGGGUGAGUAACACGUGAGCAAUCUGCCCCUGACUCUGGGAUAAGCGCUGGAAACGGCGUCUAAUACUGGAUACGAGCUGCGAAGGCAUCUUCAGCAGUUGGAAAGAAUUUCGGUCAGGGAUGAGCUCGCGGCCUAUCAGCUUGUUGGUGAGGUAAUGGCUCACCAAGGCGUCGACGGGUAGCCGGUCUGAGAGGACGAUCACCCAGACUGGGACUGAGACACGGCCCAGACUCCUACGGGAGGCAGCAGUCGGGAAUUUUGCGCAAUGGACGAAAGUCUGACGCAGCAACGCCGCGUGAGGGAUGACGGCCUUCGGGUUGUAAACCUCUUUUCUCAGGGAAGAUGAUGACGGUACCUGAGGAAUAAGCCACGGCUAACUCCGUGCCAGCCGCCGCGGUAAUAC
This 500-nucleotide ribosomal RNA is filed under the name uncultured bacterium. Its description in RNAcentral is "bacterial SSU rRNA". It matches the Rfam family "Bacterial small subunit ribosomal RNA", at positions 8 to 526 of the family's 1533-position model. The record is from RNAcentral.